AUACGUAGGGUGCGAGCGUUGUCCGGAAUUACUGGGCGUAAAGAGCUCGUAGGUGGUUUGUCGCGUCGUCUGUGAAAUUCCGGGGCUUAACUCCGGGCGUGCAGGCGAUACGGGCAUAACUUGAGUACUGUAGGGGAGACUGGAAUUCCUGGUGUAGCGGUGAAAUGCGCAGAUAUCAGGAGGAACACCGGUGGCUAAGGCGGGUCUCUGGGCAGUAACUGACGCUGAGGAGCGAAAGCAUGGGUAGCGAACAGGAUUAGAUACCCUGGUAGUCCAUGCCGUAAACGGUGGGCGCUAGGUGUAGGGGUCUUCCACGACUUCUGUGCCGUAGCUAACGCAUUAAGCGCCCCGCCUGGGGAGUACGGCCGCAAGGCUAAAACUCAAAUGAAUUGACGGGG
RNAcentral lists this ribosomal RNA (398 nucleotides) under uncultured bacterium. Its description in RNAcentral is "partial 16S ribosomal RNA". It matches the Rfam family "Bacterial small subunit ribosomal RNA", at positions 523 to 918 of the family's 1533-position model. The record is from RNAcentral.